This is a long non-coding RNA of Homalodisca vitripennis (glassy-winged sharpshooter), 2561 nucleotides long. RefSeq lists it as uncharacterized. The transcript is spliced from 2 exons. NCBI's taxonomy places the organism in Eukaryota, Metazoa, Arthropoda, Insecta, Hemiptera, Cicadellidae. The record is from RefSeq and is a predicted model, not a curated record.
AUCGGUAUGAUACACAUUACAUAUUUAUAUUCUAAAUGUUUCGUAAAGAAUAAGUUUAUCAUGUAAACAUGACCUUAUCAAAUCUUGAAACAUUAAAUAGUAAUCUUUAUAUAAAUAAAGAUACUAAACAAUCAAACUCUUAAAUUCUAUGAUUUUGUAAAGCUUAAGUGUAGAGCAACCAUUGUUAAUGGAUGAAAAGUAACUAACUGGUGGUGAAAAAAUGAGAAUAAGAUUGAAUUAUAAUAAAUUGUACUUUAAAAGUAGUUUUAAUUAAAUCUGUUAACAUUAAACAAAUAAGACCGUCAUUAAUCCGAAGUGGAAGUGAUCGUUGUUUGUUAAAAUUUUAACGGGGAUUUUUGUUGGCAGUAAAAAAAUUAGCGGAAUGUAACCAGGACGUGGCUUGCGCUGUGCUCUGACAUUUAACACAGUAUACGAGUAAGUAAGUGCCCUUUCUCGCGAAGGUUGCACCGUCUGCAUCAAGCGCGUACCGUAUUAACAUGUUCACUGUUGCUGAACCGGUUGCAUAACUGGUGUCACGUGGUCAGAGCCGAUAACUGCGUCGAGAAACACUGACGCCUCCAACAUUAUAAACCAGAGAAUUUACAGACAUUCGUGUUUAGGUUCUAGCCGAAAUAGAAAAUUGUUAUUUCUUUAACGCCGAUUUUACUUGAACAAAACUUGGCUCAAUAUGAAAGACUAUCGACUAACGAAUCAACUAAUGAAAAAAUGUUCCUUUUUAUUUACGGUUUAUCUGACAUGCAGAAAUCAUGUGGAAAGUUCAUACAGUGGUCAAAAGUCAACAACCAUACAGGUAAGGUUUAAAACUAUCAAUACUAAUAACUAUUAUUAAAGUCUAUAUAAAUUACGUAGUUUACGAGUAGUUAUAAUGUACAACUAUUGUUGCUGGUAUAAAUUUAAUAACAGAUUAAACAAUAUACACUGUAUACAGAGAUGGAAUGAAAGUCCGUUGCACAUAUAAAGUAGCAGAAACAAAUUACACAUUACACAUGGAACAUGCAAGACAUGCCAUUUGCCUCAAAUCUGCAAGACGAUCAGUUCAUGAAAAGGGAGGAGAUCAGUAAAAUUACGAUAUCAAAAUAUAUCUUUUUAGAAAAACAUUUUUGUAAUUUUACAUGUCUUCAAUCAGAUUAAAUAUACUUAGAAUGUGUGAUAGAUUUUUAUAGAUUACUCGAAGCUAUGGACAGAAAAAAUAGUUUCGUUAUAAGUUACUAUUGAACCAUGCGAUAAUUAUGGUAUUUGUAACGUCAGAGUUGUAAAUAACAAAAGCACUCGUGAACACAAUGAAUAAUGUAUUGCACAUCUAUGUAAAAUUUGACUCUUUGUUUGGAUUCAAACUUGCGAAAUGUAGGCUAAUCAAAAUUUAGUAAAUUAUAAAAGAACUGCGGACUAAAACGAUGGCUCAGAAUUAUAAGGCAAAUUUAAGGUAAACUAUUUAGAAAAGGCAGAUUCGAGGCAUCUAAAUUCCACUAAAUCAACGUUUAGGAGAGAAUUUUACUCAAGAUAAACAAUUACUUAACAUGCAAAUAGAAAGCCAGAAGUACUCUUGAACUGUACACGAGGAGGAUCCAGGAGCUGCAAAUCCAAGGCGGAGAUUCUUUAGUUGGCAAUUCAGCCGAUGGUGAUUAAUUUUGUUAUUAGUUAAUGUUUUCUUCAUACUUAGAUAUUUAGUUGUGGGAAAUAAAAUAAGUCUUUUUUUGAGCAAAUUCGUCUAGAAAGUCAGUGACUUUCUUUCACAGCAUCAAUGGAAAGUAAGCCAGUGUUAUUGAGGCUUACCACUCAAUGACCAUGGAGAUGUCGAAAAGGAACUAGCUAAUGAACCAGAUCGCCCAUUACCUCACCUACCGUGGAGAUCCCGGUAACCAGCAGUCACCGUGUCACCUGGAACAGUAGGUUUCACAGCCUAAUAGAUUCUUACACGUCUCAUUGGACGCUUUCGUUCUCGACCUGUAGAAAGCUCUCGGUUGUCGCCGCCGCCCAGCGCCGCAGAGCGAAGUGAAGCGUGGUCGGAAGACUAGAAAGCACUACAAGAGUGGAAGAUCCCAAACCUGGCGAGGGGUGAGAAGGGAAGCCCGCUUGUUAGUGAAAACAACAGUACAGUCUGUGUUGACAAAGUUUAAUCGGAAAAGUACAGGCACACAAUAAAGUUUUUACAAGAAAAAGGGAGCUCUGUGCUGGCACCAACAAGCAGAGAUUCUACAGCCAGCGCCAUGCCCGCAUGCAAUGUUCUGAUAGGAGAUACACAUCUUACCCAUGAGUCACUCUCGGUACACAAGACGGCGGCCCGGGCUCGCCGAUACACACUGACUAGGUUAAUACACAUCACAGCUGAUACAGAACACCGCAUCUACGGCUAUUGUUACUAUUGGAAAGGUGGACGUUAUUUGUACUGGGUAGUGGGUGACAAGAUGGCACAGGUUGUUACUAGACAUAGCCAUGCAAGUAAGUCGUACGUUGUAAUGUACAAAGCAAUAGUUUAAUAUCACGUUGAUGGAGUCCACCCACGGAGCUGUUCCUUUUCCGAUCGCAUUCGGUGAUGUCUA